This 74-nucleotide transfer RNA is filed under the name Streptococcus suis. RNAcentral describes it as "tRNA-Ile". It matches the Rfam family "tRNA". From Rfam's summary of the family: Transfer RNA (tRNA) molecules are approximately 80 nucleotides in length. Their secondary structure includes four short double-helical elements and three loops (D, anti-codon, and T loops). The record is from RNAcentral. Lineage: Bacteria; Bacillati; Bacillota; Bacilli; Lactobacillales; Streptococcaceae.
GGGCGCGUAGUUCAGAUGGUUAGAGCGCACGCCUGAUAAGCGUGAGGUCGGUGGUUCGAUUCCACUCGUGCCCA